CAGAUAAAACAGAGGCUGCAUGGGCUGAGUCAAUGCUUUUAAGCAGUCCACGCACGCGGCCAUACACCUACACAGGUUGUUCAGUCUUUGCACUCUAAAACAGAGAGUAAGAGUCGAUGACUCCUCUCCUCUGGUUUGUCUCUUUCUUCCUUUUGCAUGAGCAAGUUCUCUGCUCCGUCGUGCCACCUUCAAUCCAGUGUUAGUCCUGCGGGCCCAGUUAAUCCCUGGUUAAACCGAGCUGCGGUGAACCGCUGAAAUCUAACUAGUUGGCUGUCAUUAGUCGUAAAACCCUCGUGUUCUGAUCCAGAUUACAGCGGGAUUAAUGUGGAUGAACUCAAGCUGAGUGUUAGAGCGGGUUUAACUUUCUCAACCUCUCCCCUUGAAAGGCUGAUGCAGUUGAAAAGAAGCUGAAGAAGGAGAAGGAGGAGGUGGAACUUCUCAAUCAGCAGCUGAAAGAAUCCAAGGAUGAGCUCAAAGAGGCCAAUUUGCACAACCAGGAGCAGAAAGAAACGGCUGCGAUUUUUAAGCAGAAAUACGCCGCAGCAAUAGAGAAGGCGCUCAGGGUGCAAGAGCAUGUGGAACGUCUGGAGGAGGAACUACGAUAUUCACAGGAACAGCUAAGAGAGUCGCAGUUAGCAGCUUCUUCGCUGAAGGAAGAGCUAGCUGAGCUGGAGUGCCGGUAUCAGGAAAAGGUUGGCCAGUGGGAGAGUUCACAGGAGGCUCUUGACCAACUAACAGAUGAACUUCAGGCCAGUCACAACCUGCUAAGAGAGAGCGAACAAAAAGUGGAGCACUUCAAAAACCUGAUGAGAUCUCUUCAGGAGCAGAUGGACACACUCAAUCAGCAGAAGCUUGCUGUGGAGUGUGACCUGCAGCUCUAUCGUCGGAGCCAUUCUCAUUCUGAUGAGGACUAUUUGAAUCUAGGAAGACUCAGACAGCAGCUGCAGAAGCGCUGUGCAGCACAGGUUGAACACCUUGCGGUGUGUGAAAACACUAUUCUUCAGAUGAAGUCAGAGCUGGAGAGACAAGUCCAGGAAAAGGUGGGUCUGAAACAAAGUCUCGCUGCUUCCCAGCAAACUCACCGGAGCAAUCAAAAACAGCUGGAACAGGAAGUGAUUCGUACAAAACAGGAAGUGGCAUCCUUAGAGCUUGAACUGGCGAACACCCAAAAGGUGCAGGUGGCACUCCUCAGGCAGUCAGAUGAGGCCAGACAAGAGUCUGCAAGAAAGAGCCGAGAGGUGGAUGUGGAGAGAAGAAAGGCCCAGAUGCUUCAGGAGGCGUUACACAAGGAGCAGGAGAAGCUGCAGAGUGCUAUCAGAGAGAAUGAGACCCUGAGCACUGUCAUCGGAAAGCUGAGGAAAGAGCUGGAGGAGCUGCGCAGCAGUCACCGAGUGACAGUGGAGGAGUUGGCAGCCCGUGCAGAGGAGGUGAGGCGGAUGGAGGGGUGUCUGAAUGAAGGCAAGCUAGCAGAGGAGAAAAUAAGGUCAAUGGCUGCGGGGCUGAAGAAGGAGCUGACAGAGGCUGUCCAUCAGAAACUCACAGCAGAGAGAGAGAAACAGGAUGCACUGGACCAGGUGAUCACGCUCCGGUCAGAGCUGGAGGGGACGCGGUCCGACAAUGCAAAGCUUCUGCACGAGAGCCAGCUGGUCAUGACUAAUGUCAACCUUUGGAUCACUGAGCAAAAGGCUUCCAGUGAGAGCGUUAUUGCCCAGAUUAAAGCCCAAAACAAAGCUCUGCUCAUCAUCACUAAAGAGAAAGAAUGUCUUCAGGAGGCUAAUGACACACUGAAGGCGGAGGUAAAGAGACUGAAAGAAGCGGUGGAUGAGAAGGAGAAAGACAUGGAACUCUUCAAGGCCCGUCUCCGGGACUGGGGAGUACAGCAAGAAAGGAAAACCAUGGAAAAGAAGGGGUGCGUUGCUCUAAACCUCAGCAAAAUCGAGGACAUGCAGACCAGACUGCAAAGCAACCUGGAGGCCAUCGGAAUGCUAAAUCAACAAUUAGGCAAUCUCAGUCAGGAGAAUAAGCAGUUGCGUAGGCAGCUGGAAGAAGAGAGGUCCAUGCAUAGACAAGUGGAGAGGAGUGGGCCCCUUCCUCCUCCCUCUACAACCGCCAUCCACCUCCCACUCUCUCUCAGUGUCAGCCCUCCUAUCUGUGCCUCCCUUCCCUCAUCCCAGGGCCUGCCUCGUCUUCUGAGCAUAGUCCCAGUGACAGGGGACACUAAUGGGACUCAAACCAAGCCGAGUACAGUCGGAGUAGAGAGACCAGCUGAUGGUCUGACAGAAAUAGAAGGGGCGUCAAGAGUCACCACGGCAGACAGAUCGCUUCAGGCUGUGGCACACACCACCUGAACUGCCUGCGCAUGUAUGCUUGUGUGUAUGUGUGUGUGUAUGUGUGUGUGAGCAUGCAUGAUUUUGUUGUACAGCCAUUAAAGCAUACUAUCAAUCAAAAAACAUCAUUAAAGUUUGUAUUUUAAAUAAAUGAUUUUAUUAAAACAUAAUUACUGAAGCACUGGUGUAAUAUAUAUUAUUUCCAGUAAAGGACAGGAGGGUGUGCGCUCGCCACACAUCAUGGUCCAGCUAAUUCUGGGAGAUUACAUUUGGGUCAUUUUGAAACAGCUCUCUUGUGGUAGUUUUGUAGCAGAAUAAUUUAUCAAAACAUUUUAUGCUGUCCCCCAAUUGAUUGUGACCAGCACUAAAAGAUGCAAUACUUAGGCAUGCAGUAUGCAUGAAAUUAUGCUAAUGCAUAACACUAGCGUUCAUAUGCAUCUGCAUAUUGAUAUAUACAGUAUCUUUUACCUGAUUACAUUAAAUCUAAUAAGUGUAGACAAACACCGAGUGAUUCAAAAUAGACAUAAAAUACAGAGCACCUGCCUUUUCCUUAUUGCGCUUUUUAAUAUAAUAAAGUAUAUAUGUGAUAUAUAGUAUA
Molecule: long non-coding RNA, 2925 nt
Filed under: Oreochromis niloticus (Nile tilapia)
Lineage: Eukaryota; Metazoa; Chordata; Actinopteri; Cichliformes; Cichlidae
Description: lncRNA (ENSONIG00000023925.2)
Source: RNAcentral